AGCUAUACAUGCAAGUCGAGCGGACAGAAGGGAGCUUGCUCCCGGAUGUUAGCGGCGGACGGGUGAGUAACACGUGGGUAACCUGCCUGUAAGACUGGGAUAACUCCGGGAAACCGGAGCUAAUACCGGAUAGUUCCUUGAACCGCAUGGUUCAAGGAUGAAAGACGGUUUCGGCUGUCACUUACAGAUGGACCCGCGGCGCAUUAGCUAGUUGGUGAGGUAACGGCUCACCAAGGCGACGAUGCGUAGCCGACCUGAGAGGGUGAUCGGCCACACUGGGACUGAGACACGGCCCAGACUCCUACGGGAGGCAGCAGUAGGGAAUCUUCCGCAAUGGACGAAAGUCUGACGGAGCAACGCCGCGUGAGUGAUGAAGGUUUUCGGAUCGUAAAGCUCUGUUGUUAGGGAAGAACAAGUGCAAGAGUAACUGCUUGCACCUUGACGGUACCUAACCAGAAAGCCACGGCUAACUACGUGCCAGCAGCCGCGGUAAUACGUAGGUGGCAAGCGUUGUCCGGAAUUAUUGGGCGUAAAGGGCUCGCAGGCGGUUUCUUAAGUCUGAUGUGAAAGCCCCCGGCUCAACCGGGGAGGGUCAUUGGAAACUGGGAAACUUGAGUGCAGAAGAGGAGAGUGGAAUUCCACGUGUAGCGGUGAAAUGCGUAGAGAUGU
This 669-nucleotide ribosomal RNA is filed under the name Bacillus aerophilus. Its description in RNAcentral is "bacterial SSU rRNA". It matches the Rfam family "Bacterial small subunit ribosomal RNA", at positions 47 to 699 of the family's 1533-position model. The record is from RNAcentral. Lineage: Bacteria; Bacillati; Bacillota; Bacilli; Caryophanales; Bacillaceae.